UUAGCUGGGAAUGGUGGCAAAAGCCUGUGGUCCCAGCUACUUGGGGGGUUGAGGUGGGAGGAUUGCUUGAGCCCAGGAAGUGGAGGUUGCAGUAAGCUGAGAUUACACCACUAUACUCUAGCUCCAGCCCGGGUGACAAAGUGAGGUCCCAUCUCAAAAAAAGAAAAAAAGAAAGUGAAAACAAUCCUGAAUUGAUGGUUUACAUCUUCUUCUUGGAAUUCUUACAUGAAAAAAACACAAUCUGCUUGAUUUGAUUAUUGGCAAAAAGGGUGAUGUUAACAGGAAUAUGAGACUUAUUUUGAAAAUCUCUUAGGGAAUAAGAAGGUUCUACUUAACAAAGGUAAAUCAGAAUGCACCAGUAGUGCCGUGGGUUUUACGGAAGAAACUGGAACUGAUUUUCCACAGCAGUUCUUUAAGUAAGUGGGGGUGGGGAGUGGCAGCAGAGCAACCCCAGGAACAGCAAGUGGGGUUUGUUCGCUGCAGACUGUGACAGAUUUUUGUGAUCACCACCGCCUGGGAGUAUGCCCUCUGGGAUUUUAUUUUUCUUUUUUGGGGGGUCUAGAAUCCAGCAGAAGGGCUAUUCAAUCUUUCUGCUGCCAUAAGAAAAAAACAUGCUGGGCCUAUCACCAGAUGGCCUCUGAAUGGGCUAGGACUCUGCUGAGACUGGCCUAGCUAUGAACACUGUUGUGCUCUACACCCCACAAGGUCUUUCUAGACAAGUGUGCAAGUAACUAGAGACAGAGGAAAAUAUGCACAGGUGCUUUGAAUCAUGUGAACAGCCAAAUACUAAGGUACAUGAUCCUUUAAAAGAACAGACAUUCACAAUGUUUUAGCUCCUGAGCAGCCUCUCAGGCCUCCCGUGCUUGGAGAUGAGGGCAGGUGAAGACAACCCUAACCCAAGACACCGGCUCCCUGUGGUCUGUGCUCUGCAAAUAAAGCUGAUGGAAACACCACAGACGACGAGUCGUGGGAGAAAAGGUGAGGGGCAUAGCUGAGAUCCAUUUUCAAUAUCUGAGUAAUACUCUUGCCUUGGCUCCUUAGUAGAAAGACUGCAAAGGGCUGGUCACCUGCUGGUGGUUAUUUAGGGGAAGAUCAGAGGUGAGAUGUGAGCCUUCUUCUGAGAGGCUUACCCUGGAAGUGUUUCCUUCUAGGAAUGCUUGAAAAAUAUAUAGCUUACGCAUCAAAUUCUAAGCAAUAGUCAUAAGGACCCUCUGGAGUCCAGCCAAGAACCAGGAUUCAGGAAGCAAAGGUUCUGGAUGUCCAACUGGAUGUCAGAGCUUCCCAAGAGCUUCAGUUCCCCAAGGGCCUGCCCACUCCCACCUAUUUCCAGGACUGGUCUUUUGGCCAAGUCUAGGGAUUCCCAUUCCCUGACAGAUCAGAAAUCACCAACUAGUACCCAGUUGGUUGGGGGCAUAUGCGUUGGAGCCAGAAAUGUGACUUUGGCCUGUGAAAGAGGGAGGCGAAUGCCAAGAAGUCAAAAAGUCUGGAAGGAAACCAGGUUCCACAGUCACCCAACAGAUCCCAAGGGCCCCACCGGCCAAGCACCCAGGACAACACCAGCUACUUACUGCGACGGGCCGCAUCUGAGUGUGCGCCUAAGAUGGGGUGUGUGUGCAAAAUAUUUCUAGGGGAUUUCCACUAGACAGAAUGGGAUGAUUCAGUUAUCUGGACAUUUUAAAAUAAUUGCUUAAUCCCUGAUAACGAGCAAAGUGAUUUUCUACUGUGCAGAUACUUUGAUGUUAGAAUAACUGAUAUUACCACUUUCAGUGUGGUCCAGAGGGCGCAUUGUCUUUCACGUACACUGCAUAAAUGUUUCCACUGGACAGCAGGCACUGGCAUUUCUCCCACAGAAGUGCUCUUCUGAAAAGUCCUGCAUCAACACUUGCACCACCAGCCAGGGAACUCCAGGGAGCCUGAGCAACUACUAUGGGAUGUGCCCUGCCUUGGGCCUGGGAAUGGCACCAGGCAGAGAACCUUAUUUCCUGGGUCACAGGGGGCAGGAAUUAGCUGCUGGCCUCCUGCCCUGACUAGAGAGGAUGCCUAGUGCUCAGCCGGCAAGUUCCUCUGACACUAGGCAGAGGACAAGUGUGAAGCUGCAGUACCUCCCUCUCCUAGGCCCUGAGAGGCGGGGAUUAAUGUGUCUCCUGGAAAAGCCGCGAGUUCCUGAGAUGCCAUCAUUCUCUUUAUCUAAUCUCACCCUUCCUGCUCUGUGUGGCCCGUUAGCCAGGGGCCACCCUCAAAUCUAAUGGGUGCAAAGACAAAGCAAGGCCUACAUUCCUCACCUGCUGGGUCUCCGUGACAGAAUCUCCGUGAAUCAGAGAUUCUAUAAAUUAAGAAAAACAAACUAAACCCAGUAGAUGGCAGACAGGGGAAUCUAGAGGUCUAAGGAAGCUGGCAGUUAAAUCUGAGUGUUAGGCAGGCAGCAAAGGAAACUAGACAGACAUCUAUUUUGCGUUUGAUUUCACUGGUUCAAAUGUCUACAUGCUGGAGUAAAUCCACUUGCCUCUCUCUUCAUCGCUCUUCCUCUGCAGUACAUUAACCUGGCCGAGGAUGGCAUAUGCCACUGUUGACUCCUGGUCCUCCAAGGCCUAGGAGGCUCACCCCACAGGCAGGGCCUGGAGCCAUAGCAAACUCAGAAGAAGGCCAUAGGUACAGUCUCAGUGACAUCAGACAUUAGGCUGAUUCCUGAGGCAUCGCUCCUGUCUCCCAGGACAGCAGGGUCUGAUGCUCUGGUAUGUAGCUACCAGGUCACAAUCACAUGACCACUGCAGAAACAUCAACCCCAGCUGGUCCAGGUUCCAGCCAGUUUCCUCUGGGCAGCAUGUUACAAUGGGCUCCCUGCCUUUUUGUUUUGAUCAUCCAAAUCUAGCUUCAAAGGGCUCCAAAACGUCCUUGCCACAUCUGGACCUGAAAGCAAGAGCUGUUUUUAAGAGUGAGAUUCUCAUUGCAUUUGGACAAAAUGAAUAAUGUGCCUUUCAUAUUUUCUUUGUAUUUCUCUUCAAUAGUUGCUUGACCCAACAUCUUUCUGUCUGCUCUAUACAAUGAAAAUACAAACUAAAUGAGAAUAGAAAAAAUAAUUAAAGCAUUAAAUUGUACAAAUUACAAAUCUGUUCCAAAAUAUACUUACAUUAAAUAAAAUACGCAUUUCAAUAAGAGAUCUACAGUGAAUGACUAUGCAUUCUGGGAAGCUUCACAACAUCUAGGCAGGGCCAACAUUCGUGAAAAAGCUAAGAGAUUUUGCAUCCAAUCACAGUUUGUAGCGGGUAUCUUAUUGCCAAUCUGCAGGUUACACUGAACACAUCAUUAGCAUCGCUUGUGCAGAAAACCAAUUUUGUUUGGGAAAAGGGAAAGCAAGCUCUGGCCUCAAUUUUGAGUUCAUUACAACUUCUUAAGAAUUUCACCAACAGCCUAUACA
Molecule: non-coding RNA, 3415 nt
Organism: Chlorocebus sabaeus (green monkey)
Lineage: Eukaryota; Metazoa; Chordata; Mammalia; Primates; Cercopithecidae
Source: RefSeq, a predicted model, not a curated record